RNAcentral lists this ribosomal RNA (460 nucleotides) under uncultured bacterium. Its description in RNAcentral is "partial 16S ribosomal RNA". It matches the Rfam family "Bacterial small subunit ribosomal RNA", at positions 338 to 795 of the family's 1533-position model. The record is from RNAcentral.
CCUACGGGAGGCAGCAGUGAGGAAUAUUGGUCAAUGGGCGGGAGCCUGAACCAGCCAAGUCGCGUGAGGGAAGACGGUCCUAUGGAUUGUAAACCUCUUUAGGCGGGGAGCAAUGCCGGGCACGCGUGCCCGGAGGGAGAGUACCCGCAGAAUAAGCAUCGGCUAACUCCGUGCCAGCAGCCGCGGUAAUACGGAGGAUGCGAGCGUUAUCAGGAUUGAUUGGGUUUAGAGGGUGCGUAGGCGGAUUUUUAAGUCAGCGGUAAAAUGUCCGGGCUCAACCCGGGCCGGCCGUUGAAACUGGGGAUCUUGAGUGGGCGAGAAGUAUGCGGAAUGCGUGGUGUAGCGGUGAAAUGCAUAGAUAUCACGCAGAACUCCGAUUGCGAAGGCAGCAUACCGGCGCCCGACUGACGCUGAGGCACGAAAGCGUGGGGAUCGAACAGGAUUAGAUACCCCUGUAGUC